This 416-nucleotide ribosomal RNA is filed under the name uncultured bacterium. RNAcentral describes it as "bacterial SSU rRNA". It matches the Rfam family "Bacterial small subunit ribosomal RNA", at positions 28 to 439 of the family's 1533-position model. The record is from RNAcentral.
GACGAACGCUGGCGGCGCGCCUAACACAUGCAAGUCGAACGAGCGAGAGAGAGCUUGCUUUCUCGAGCGAGUGGCGAACGGGUGAGUAACGCGUGAGGAACCUGCCUCAAAGAGGGGGACAACAGUUGGAAACGACUGCUAAUACCGCAUAAGCCCACAGGUCGGCAUCGACCAGAGGGAAAAGGAGCAAUCCGCUUUGAGAUGGCCUCGCGUCCGAUUAGCUAGUUGGUGAGGUAAUGGCCCACCAAGGCGACGAUCGGUAGCCGGACUGAGAGGUUGAACGGCCACAUUGGGACUGAGACACGGCCCAGACUCCUACGGGAGGCAGCAGUGGGGAAUAUUGCACAAUGGGGGAAACCCUGAUGCAGCGACGCCGCGUGGAGGAAGAAGGUCUUCGGAUUGUAAACUCCUGUUGU